This 494-nucleotide ribosomal RNA is filed under the name uncultured bacterium. RNAcentral describes it as "bacterial SSU rRNA". It matches the Rfam family "Bacterial small subunit ribosomal RNA", at positions 30 to 521 of the family's 1533-position model. The record is from RNAcentral.
AUUGAACGCUGGCGGAAUGCUUUACACAUGCAAGUCGAACGGUAGAGGGGGCAACCCCUUGAGAGUGGCGAACGGGUGAGUAAUAUAUCGGAACGUGCCCAGUCGUGGGGAUAACGUAGCGAAAGUUACGCUAAUACCGCAUACGAUCUACGGAUGAAAGCGGGGGACUCGCAAGAGCCUCGCGCGAUUGGAGCGGCCGAUAUCAGAUUAGGUAGUUGGUGAGGUAAAGGCUCACCAAGCCGACGAUCUGUAGCUGGUCUGAGAGGACGACCAGCCACACUGGGACUGAGACACGGUCCAGACUCCUACGGGAGGCAGCAGUGGGGAAUAUUGGACAAUGGGCGAAAGCCUGAUCCAGCCAUGCCGCGUGUGUGAAGAAGGUCUUCGGAUUGUAAAGCACUUUAAGUUGGGAGGAAGGGUAGUAACCUAAUACGUUGCUACUUGACGUUACCGACAGAANAAGCACCGGCUAACUUCGUGCCAGCAGCCGCGGU